UGAACUUCAUGAGCUUCACAUGGGCCCACCUCUCAAGAAUGUUCAGGUCUUUCUGGAUGGCAACCCUAUCUUCUACAGUGCCAACUUCACCACUCAGCUUGGUUUCAUCUGCAGACUUGCUAAGGGCACUCUCAGUCCCACUGCCUAUGUCAAUAAAGAUGGUUAACGGUGUUGGUUCCAAUACAGACCCCUGAUGGACAACACUUGUCAUUGAUCACCACUUGGGCAUUGAGUUAUUGACUGCAAUUCGCUUGAAAUAAUGAAGAACAUGAAUUUAAUUAAUGAUCCCUGUGACUGUGUCUAUUAUUAAAGUAAACAGGAUGUCUCUUUGGCACUGUGGACUGAGCUGAUACAGCACAGGCCAUGUCUGUACAACUAAAUUCUCCUUUGCUGUCCUUUCCAAACAUAGUAAACUUGACAGUAUUUUCUGUUAGGAAAAAUAUUUCCUUCAUACUGGCUUCACUGCUCUAAAACUUUGUACUUUCCCAGGUUUUCGUAUACCAAAACUAGAGGGGUUUUUUUGUUUGGUUGGUUGGGUUUUGUUUUUGGUUUUGGGGGGUGAGAGGAUAGGGGGCAGGGUUUGGUUAGUUGGUUGGGUUUGGUGUGCUUGCCAUUCAAAAAGACUUUACAGAUUCAUUUACAGAUUAUUUGGUAUGAUGUGUCUGCUGAGUGAAUAGUCCAUUUUAAAGUCUAUAGUAAAUGUUGAUUUUUUUUUCUCACACUGAGAAAAGGGCAUUCAGAUGAAGUAUGAUAGACUGUACAGUAACAGAGUUGUCAUCGCCUAUGAAAUCUUAAACCGAGUAAAAUUAACAAAAGAUAUAUACUUCCUGCCAGGGAAAUGAGAUAAAUUGCAAAUGUCAAAAAUAUUGUG
Long non-coding RNA from Oxyura jamaicensis (ruddy duck), 871 nucleotides. RefSeq lists it as uncharacterized. The record is from RefSeq and is a predicted model, not a curated record. Lineage: Eukaryota; Metazoa; Chordata; Aves; Anseriformes; Anatidae. The transcript has 2 exons.